UACAGAGGUCCCGAGCGUUGUUCGGAUUCACUGGGCGUAAAGGGUGCGUAGGUGGUUGGGUAAGUUUGAUGUGAAAGCUCAGGGCUUAACCCUGAAAUGGCAUUGAAUACUACUCAACUGGAGGUUUGGAGGGGGGACUGGAAUUCUUGGUGUAGCAGUGAAAUGCGUAGAUAUCAAGAGGAACACCAGUGGCGAAGGCGAGUCCCUGGACAACACCUGACACUGGAGGCACGAAAGCUAGGGGAGCAAACAGG
Molecule: ribosomal RNA, 254 nt
Filed under: uncultured bacterium
Lineage: Bacteria
Description: partial 16S ribosomal RNA
Rfam family: Bacterial small subunit ribosomal RNA
Source: RNAcentral